Molecule: ribosomal RNA, 464 nt
Filed under: uncultured bacterium
Lineage: Bacteria
Description: partial 16S ribosomal RNA
Rfam family: Bacterial small subunit ribosomal RNA
Source: RNAcentral
CUACGGGCGGCUGCAGUGGGGAAUAUUGGACAAUGGGGGAAACCCUGAUCCAGCAAUGCCGCGUGUGUGAAGAAGGCCUGCGGGUUGUAAAGCACUUUCGGUUGGGAGGACUGCUUCUAGCACUAAUAUUGUUGGAAGUUGACGUUACCUUCAGAAGAAGCACCGGCUAACUCCGUGCCAGCAGCCGCGGUAAUCGGAGGGUGCAAGCGGUAAUCGGAAUUACUGGGCGUAAAGCGCGCGUAGGCGGCUAGAUCAGUCGGGUGUGAAAGCCCCGGGCUUAACCUGGGAACUGCAUCCGAUACUGUCUAGCUCGAGUACAGGAGAGGAGAGUGGAAUUCCACAUGUAGCGGUGAAAUGCGUAGAUAUGUGGAGGAACACCAAUGGCGAAGGCAGCUCUCUGGCCUGAUACUGACGCUGAGGUGCGAAAGCGUGGGGAGCAAACAGGAUUAGAUACCCCUGUAGUC